Molecule: long non-coding RNA, 130 nt
Organism: Salvelinus sp. IW2-2015
Lineage: Eukaryota; Metazoa; Chordata; Actinopteri; Salmoniformes; Salmonidae
Source: RefSeq, a predicted model, not a curated record
UCCAAGCACUGAGUAACCCUAUCAAUUUUCUCUCAUUACUUCAAAUCCUGUCCUGCCCUCAGUGGAGGAGCUGAGCUCUUCUCUAACACCAUCCAUCCACGAUGAGCCUGUCCUGCACUGAAGCCUACAG